Cyprinus carpio (common carp) is the source of this 981-nucleotide long non-coding RNA. NCBI's taxonomy places the organism in Eukaryota, Metazoa, Chordata, Actinopteri, Cypriniformes, Cyprinidae. The record is from Ensembl.
CUCUGCUUUCCUGGGCUACAAUAGGACUCACGAUCACUCUCUCUAUCGCUUUUUCUCUCGCUCUGGCCUUUAUCCCUCCCUGUCUCUUUCACAAAGACAUACACAUUGUCUAAUCAUUUUUAUGAGACAAAUAAGCAAAAAAAAAGGGCUCCUCAUGCCAGAACAUAGUACGUGGAAUAGUGUGUAUAAGAAUUAUGCAAAGUCUGGCUGCUUUUGAAGUUCACAACAUGACGCAAGCCCUUUGAGUGCAUGGGUUUUUAAAAAUAAAACUAAAUGUUUUAUGUGCUAUGCUAAGGAAAGCAUAGGGAGAUUGUUUUUGUGCAUACUGGUUCAACAAGAAUAAACACGUUCAGUUUAUUGCUCUGCCAUUGUGUGUCUGUAUGUUGUCAGAACCAGCAUUCCCACUGGACUUGGCAUUGUUUGGACUCUGUCUCAGGUAGAGCUGUUGGCCCAGCAGCCAGACGAAAGCAGGGAAACAUUUUCAUCACAAUGAAGCCUGUUCCUUGAUUCAUGUCUCACUCAGAAUCCCAAAGAGGCUGUUAAUUAUUCAGACAUGAAUAAAACCACCUGGCCCAAACCUUAUGGAGCUAGAAUAUGACAAAGAGACUGGAAUUUUGUAAAUAUUUAUUUUAGACAUUUGUCAUUUAACAAAAUGUUUUUUUAACUUUGUGAAUUUGGAUGCUUUAUAAUAUAACAAAAUGACAGCUUCGAGCGUUGAAGAUGAUUUCACAUUCUAAUUUCUAAAAAUCAAUUUUUCACUUUUCUAGCUCCAUAAAACCGGAUGCACAGCUCUGGUCCACGCAGAAAAGCGAGAUGAGGAGGAGGAAUGAGAGAAGAGGAGAUUUACGUAGAGGUCUGAGGAUCAGACGUCAUCCACCACAUCACAAUGACGGCAGGCUCCACGGCAACCAGCAAUUCUCAGAGGAAACAUAGAGACAUAAUUAGAAUAAAUUUUCAGCCACUUCUGUCUUACUCUAGUGU